AAAUUAUAUAAUACAAUUAUUACAACAAUCAAAAAACAUGUUUUAUGAUUUCGAUUUAACAAUUUUGUUAAACUGUUUAAAAUUGCUAUGUAAACAAAUUGUUAUUAAUAAUGAACAAAGUGAUCAUACAAAUAUGAAUGAAUUAUUUAAAUUAGAGCAAUUUAAAAAUACUAUAAUUCAACAAAAAUCGGAUACUAUUAUGAACGAGUCAGAAGAAAAUACGAUAAAAACUAUAGAAAAGGAAUAUGAUACUUUUUUUAAUUCGGAUAACCAACUUUGGGCUUAUAAAUCAGUGUUAUAUGACAAUAUGGAUACAGAAAAGGGUAAUAAUGAUAGAGAGGAAGAAGAAGAAGAAGAAGGAGAAGGAACAAAAAAAGGAAAUUAUGCACACAGUGAUAGUGCAUAUUCUGUUGUUUCGGAAGGAAUAGUUAGUAAAAAAGAAAAUGAUAUAAAUCAAUGUGCUAGAAUAAGCAGUGAGCGUAACAUACAUGACGGGAUGAACAUAUCAAGUAAUACACAAACCGUAUUAGGCUGUGAAAAACGCAAAUUAGAUGAAACUAUGUUUACUAAAAUUAUUUAUAAAAUUGUAAAAUUAUUUAAAAAAAGAACAGAACCAAGUAGCAACAAUAUAAAAUAUAAUAAGGGUAUGAAUUUGCAAGAAGAGUACAGCAGUAAGAACAAAACAGAAGUAUAUAAAAUAAGAAAAAUUAUAAACAACACAUUAGAUAUGUUAAUAAAACUAAAUAGUUCUAAUAAAAAAAAAAAAAAUAAGUACGAUAGUUGUUAUGAUGGUAAUAAUAACGUAUCAUCAUUAUGUAAUAAUAUGAAAAAUAAGAAUCGAUUUAAUUUUUUUGAUACAAAAAAGAAGGAAGAAAAACAAUUUUUAAUUUUUACUUUAAACACAGUAAACAAAUUAAACUAUUUUUCACAGUGUAAUAGUUACAAUUUUGAAUAUUUUAAAAAUAAAAUUUUAGAAUGUAUACUAAAUAAUAAAAAAAAAAAUCAUGCAUAUAUAAAUAAAUAUAUAAACCUUUUAGAAUAUAAUUUUGUAGAUGGUAUUUUUAGUUCUUUAAGUGAUAUAAGUUCAUAUCUUAUAAAUUUAAAUAAAGAGUUUAUUUCGAUAUAUAACAAAAGUAAUAAUUUAAAAAUUUUAAAUGUGUUACAUGCAAUUGAUAAAAUUUUAAAACUUUCUGUAAAUGAUAUUAAAACAGAUAUAGAACAAAUAACAAAAAAACUGGAAGCACUUUUAUUUUUAAUUAAUUCAAUUAAAGAAGAUAAAUAUAUAGAUCUGGAUGUAAUCACGAUGGAGCAUUUAAAUAAGUUAAUUAAAAAUAAUUUAUUAGAAACUUUAUUAGUAUAUGUGAUAUAUUUUCGAUUAUAUAAACUGAAAGAAAUUAAAACAGUUCGUAAGAAAUUAACUCAUACUAUGAUAAAGAAAAAAACGUUGAACUUGUUUGCUUAUUUGUUUUAUUUGUGUUAUGAUGAUGUUGAUGGGAAAGUUACUACAUCGGUUGAUAUUUGUAAUGGCGAUAUAUACAAUAACAAUGGCGAUAUAUACAAUAGCAAUGGCGAUAUAUACAAUAGCAAUGGUGAUCUGACAACAAAACUAAAAAUUGUUAACUCAUUUGAAUUGUUAGUAAUAUUUUUAAGAGGUUCUUCUAUUGGCGAAUUUUCAAUGCGUUUAAAUAUGAUUUACUUUAUUGGACAUUUGUUUAUGUAUUCGAGUAAUAUAAAAGAAAGAUUAAUGAGUAAUUUAUUUUUAAAUGUUUAUAAUUAUAUGCAUAUAUAUUUACAGUUAAUAAAAAAAAAAAUAAAAAAAUCUAAAAAUUAUUUUGAUUUACAAUUAAAAAAAUCAUUACAACAAAUUAAUAUUGACUUAAUAGAUUUAAAUGCUUAUACAAAAUCUAUAGAAAAAUUUAAAAAACAAAAUUACUUAUUUUACUAAGUUAUAUUUUCAACAAAUAGCUAUAACAGUUGAUAAGUUUAUUUUGGAAAAUAAAUACAGUACAUUCGAAUCGGAAAUGAAAUUA
Piliocolobus tephrosceles (Ugandan red Colobus) is the source of this 2030-nucleotide long non-coding RNA. NCBI's taxonomy places the organism in Eukaryota, Metazoa, Chordata, Mammalia, Primates, Cercopithecidae. The record is from Ensembl.